Molecule: ribosomal RNA, 253 nt
Filed under: uncultured bacterium
Lineage: Bacteria
Description: partial 16S ribosomal RNA
Rfam family: Bacterial small subunit ribosomal RNA
Source: RNAcentral
UACAGAGGUCUCAAGCGUUGUUCGGAUUCACUGGGCGUAAAGGGUGCGUAGGUGGUGGGGUAAGUCUGAUGUGAAAUCUCCGAGCUUAACUCGGAAACUGCAUCGGAUACUAUCUUGCUCGAGGGUUGGAGGGGGGACUGGAAUACUUGGUGUAGCAGUGAAAUGCGUAGAUAUCAAGUGGAACACCAGUGGCGAAGGCGAGUCCCUGGACAACUCCUGACACUGAGGCACGAAAGCUAGGGGAGCAAACAGG